Molecule: non-coding RNA, 2286 nt
Organism: Aegilops tauschii subsp. strangulata
Lineage: Eukaryota; Viridiplantae; Streptophyta; Magnoliopsida; Poales; Poaceae
Source: RefSeq, a predicted model, not a curated record
AUCUAGAGCAUCAUCCGUUCCCGUUAUGGGAGUACUCAUGUCUUUCGGAGUUUUCUUGCCUCUUUUAGUUUGUUUGGGUUCAUCAAAAUAAAUAAAAUCCUCAUUAUUUGCAAAUGUGGAUUUCCUUUGUCUCUUCUUCUGUACUGUCAUCGUAGACCCUCCUGUUCCCUGCGUGUCCAAGGUAGGAGAUUUAAUAAAAAAUAGUGACUCGCAUAAUUAAUAUACUUACUUACGUCUGACUUUCGUGCAUCGUCUCUCUCAAACUCCUUUUGCACACUACUGAUGUCAUCCUGAGCACCUUGCAAGUUUUUGUCAGUAGUGAUGUCAUCCUGAGCACCCUGGAAGUUUUGCUCACUAGUGAUGUCAUCGUGAGCACCCUGCAAGUCAUAGGGAGGAGCUUGUAAAAUGAGAAAAAUAACUCAUAUAAUUAAUAUAGUUACUAAAUUACAUCAAAGUCUGAGGCCAAGUCACGGCCAUGAAGGGGCGACGCAACAAAUUUGUCGCUGUCAUUGUACUCGUAUUCUGGUCGGCUCCAAUAGUCCUGCAUAGGUGCCUAGUUGUCAUUAUUUUAUACAUAGGAAGAAAAGAGUGAUUAAGUGCGUGUUUGGAUGGUAGGGUACUUACAUUGCCGUUCUGGUUGGCGUAUAACCAGUUCCUCAAAUUUGCAUUUUCCUGCUCUAGGUGCCUGAAUUUGCGCAACAUUUGUACGCGGGUCUGAAGGUGCUGCUCCAUCAAGUCUGUUCUCACUCGGCAAACGAGAUCAUGAAGCUUCAUCACCAGCUACAGGCAUAUUAAUGAGAAAAGUAUUAACCCUUUGGUGCACGAAGAAGUACAAAACUGAAGAAUAACAAAUUACCUUUGAAUCUGUCGGUGGCAAUUCAUCAAACAACUCAGGUGUCGGCGACCUUGCUCUGCAAAUGCUAUUCUCCUGUCUCCAUAUUGUCGGAAGACACUGUAUGCCCGGUUGACAUCUUUUCCUUCGGGUUCAACCCCUACCUCCUACCAAAUAUGUGCUCCACAUCCCGUGUUGUUAUCGACAGUGGUUCCCCAUCAAUGAUGAAGGCGUCACAGGUGGGGUCGUAUAGCUCCGCUAUUGAUCUGCACAUGUUCCGGUGAAUUUUGAUAGGAAGGAUCCUCAGUAGGCCACCUAGGUCGACCUCUUCUAUGGCUCUUGUCUGGUCUGUAGUGAAAUCUUUAGUAACUCCAUGAUAUGCUACAAGGGAACAGACUUGUGUUUCCUGAUCAUUUGGAAAUACAUUAAAAUGUGAGCUACACAAAAAGACAAAUAUGAGGCUUUUUAGCAUGUACUGUUCGUCAUCGUAUAUAAGUUAACCCUUCUUUUCUAUGCUUAUUACUCUAUGGGAAACAUAUAGGUUCGUAUUCGAAUAUGUCAUUAAUCUAGCUUCGAAAGAUGCUAUGAUCUAUUAUGCACAUCUGCCAGAUAGAUUAGAGUUUCACCAUGUCUAACAGUAAUAUGGAUGAUGAAGAUUGAUCUUUGGGAAACAUAGGCGUGGAUAUUAAUCUGUCAGAACCUACGAAACAAAAUACUUUCCUCUAAUAUACAAAUCUAAGAAACGAAAUACUCUGAUAUAAUAUGCACAUCUACGUAACAGAAUACUCUGCCGUAAUAUUGAUCAGGUACUGAAUUUCCUUACAGUGUUCCUUUUUGCUUGUGAUUUCUCUUGUGGUGUUGUUGACUUCGCCUUGUCGUUCGUGUUCCGAGGUGGCGGAUUCCUUGGUGCCGGGUACCUUGGUGGCAGGUUCUGUGCUGGCUGGUUCGCAGGUGGCGGGUUGGGUGCUGGCGGUGGUGGCGGGUUCGCUGAUGGAGGUGGUGGCUGGUUCGCAGGUGGCGGGUUCACUGAUGGCGGUGGUGGCGGGUUCCCUCGUGGUGUCUUCCGUGGUGGCGGAUGAUAAGAGCGAUGCUCCAUGAACGAACUAUGCAAUGUCACACAGGCAACUUUCUGGAGGACGACGUGGAAACGGCGGCGGCGGAAACUGGAGGGAGAUUAGAUCGAGCGUAUUAGUAGUACGUACGAUGGGUUUCUGUUAUUUCUUUCUCAGGAUAUUGGCAGCCUAACUCCCUUUUUUUUGCGGGACAGCUAUACCUAACUCCCGUGCAUGGCAGUCUGCAAUACAUAUCCCAAGUGUCAAAAAAGUUAAAUAAAAACUCCAAUAUAUAUCCCCUCGCUGUGGUAGCAAAUCGGGUUUACGUACUAACCAAUUUCGUAUCUCGAGUACCCCUCAUUUUUUUUUCAUAUCUCAAGUAUUUUUUUAUUUCUUACGAAA